GGGCAGCACAUAGAUGAAGCCGGCUGACGAGCGGGGUCCAUUGGUCGGUGAGAGAAAAAAAAAGAAAGGGAGCUGCGCGCUUGGGCCAGAGAGGAGAGUGGGCCGAGGCCACGCGAGUUGGGCCGCUGUGCUGGACCGAGGGAGAAAGAGUCAGGCCUUCGGGCCAAACAUAGAGGAGAGCUUUCUUGUGUUUUUUUUCUUUCUUUAUUUCAAAGCCAAUUUUCAAAAACCAAUUUGAAAAUAUUUUUAUAACUUUGAUCAAAGUCACACAGUACAAAAAUAUGAAUGAUCUAGCAUGAGUGCACAUACAUGUUACUAAAUUCUAUGAUAAGUUUUAUUUUAAGGACAAAUAUUAUUUUUCCCAUAUUUUCAUGAGCACAAAAUACAAAAUUAAAUCAUUUUUCUCCUAUUUUAAAAUGAGCAAAUUUUUGGGUGUUACAAGCUUUAGGCGACCGAUCUGGCGAGGAGCACCCAGGCGAUGCUUAGCCCUCGGCCCUUGACAUAGGGCCACGACUGUGCUCGGCAAGGAAGAGCCCCACGGUGGUAGAUCCGGCUAGUUGCAGUGGAGGUGGAACCCUGAAUGGGCUCGAUGGGCCUGUGGAUGGGCUCAUCGGGCCUAUCGAUGGAUUUUUUCAUUUUUUUCAUUUUUUAUUUGAUUAACUGAGGCGGGCAGGCAACCGCCUUAGAAAAUAAUCUCUUUACCGUGACCUUCAUUCCGAGACGGUUGCAAAAAGCAACUCGGUUAAUCAUUUUUGCCGGCCUCUAUUAAAAAUAAUGUAGUAGUGUCUCCGUAUCUCUCAACUAGAACUAAUAUACUACAUUGGAGAGUCUAGCCCUAAUCCUCCUUGUGCACCCUGAUCAAUGCAUGAGAGAUAUGAAUUAUGGUUUUAGGGAUUUUCUCAACCAGGGGGUCAAGGGCCUGCUAAUAUAUGCCAAUGGGAUGAACAAGAGCUCUUCGAUUAAAUCGAUUUUGAUCAAUGGUGAAUAUGGAAAUCCUAAGGUGGUGGAGAAACCGACAUAGAAGCGAGCCGUGGACUGGAUCACCGGUGCAACCGACCUAGGGCUCAAUUGAGCCAACCCACUAUAGUGGCACAUGAGGCCCUCCUUUGCUAGGUCGCCUUCUCAUGUCUUCUAGAAUCUUCUCAAGUUGGUGCCAUGGUGGAGUAUGCUUUUUAGCCCGAUGUCCUUGAGAUGCUUUCUAGAGUCUUCACCAAAACUGCAGAAGUCUAUCAUUUCAACCCCUAUUCCAUGUAGGUAAUUCAUUUUAUGUCUUGCUCCAUGUUUGGUUCAUGGUUUAUAAUUGUAGUUAAGGACCAUUAACAAGCUCCCCUAAGCUUACCUUCGCUAGUCCCUUAGCAAAGCUAAACUCAGCAAAAAAAAUGGAUUAGGAGUUGCUUCAAUGUUUUCACACCUCAAAAGUACACAUGAGUUCAUACAAGAAUUCUCCUCUAGAUUAGAAUAAACCAAUAAGACUU
Molecule: long non-coding RNA, 1475 nt
Filed under: Sorghum bicolor (sorghum)
Lineage: Eukaryota; Viridiplantae; Streptophyta; Magnoliopsida; Poales; Poaceae
Description: long non-coding RNA (SBIC_LNC009161)
Source: RNAcentral